CGUAGGGUGCGAGCGUUAAUCGGAAUUACUGGGCGUAAAGCGUGCGCAGGCGGUUUUGUAAGACAGGCGUGAAAUCCCCGGGCUCAACCUGGGAACUGCGCUUGUGACUGCAAGGCUAGAGUACGGCAGAGGGGGUGGAAUUCCACGUGUAGCAGUGAAAUGCGUAGAGAUGUGGAGGAACACCAAUGGCGAAGGCAGCCCCCUGGGUCGAUACUGACGCUCAUGCACGAAAGCGUGGGUAGCAAACAGGAUUAGAUACCCUGGUAGUCCACGCCCUAAACGAUGUCAACUAGGUGUUGGGUGGGUAAAACCAUUUAGUACCGGAGCUAACGCGUGAAGUUGACCGCCUGGGGAUACGGCGCAAGGUA
Molecule: ribosomal RNA, 368 nt
Filed under: uncultured organism
Description: bacterial SSU rRNA
Rfam family: Bacterial small subunit ribosomal RNA
Source: RNAcentral